This 377-nucleotide unclassified non-coding RNA is filed under the name uncultured Pseudomonadota bacterium. Its description in RNAcentral is "uncultured proteobacterium contains 16S-23S intergenic spacer region". The record is from RNAcentral. Lineage: Bacteria; Pseudomonadati; Pseudomonadota.
UCCGGCUUAUCGCUGGCGGUCUCCUGCGAGUUGCGCCUUGCGGCAUGCCAACACAGGACAAGGGUUGCGCUCGUUGCGGGACUUAACCCAACAUCUCACGACACGAGCUGACGACAGCCAUGCAGCACCCGUGUCCAGGUCCCCUUUCGGGCACACCCCCAUCUCUGGAGGCUUCCUGGCAUGUCAAGGGUAGGUAAGGUUUUUCGCGUUGCAUCGAAUUAAUCCACAUCAUCCACCGCUUGUGCGGGUCCCCGUCAAUUCCUUUGAGUUUUAAUCUUGCGACCGUACUCCCCAGGCGGGGUGCUUAAUGCGUUAGCUGCGCCACCAAAGAGCAAGCUCCCUGACGGCUAGCACCCAUCGUUUACGGCGUGGACUAC